Long non-coding RNA from Amphimedon queenslandica, 191 nucleotides. RefSeq lists it as uncharacterized. Lineage: Eukaryota; Metazoa; Porifera; Demospongiae; Haplosclerida; Niphatidae. The transcript is spliced from 3 exons. The record is from RefSeq and is a predicted model, not a curated record.
GUAAUAAUGCUAGUGAGCUCAGUUAUCUGUAUGGACCUUUAAACAAUGCUAACAACAGAACAGAAGAUGUAUGGACCCAUUGGAAGUGUGCAGUGUGGGCAUCAGGUGUGUAUUUUGAUGGUGAUGAACUAAAAGGAUUAUCUGAAGCUAUUGAAGAAGGACAAUCAUUGGUUUGUUGUAAGUGUAAUAAA